GCUACCUUACCCUGAGGACUUGGACAUUCCAGCGUAUCGCAGAACCGGAAUUCAUCUCCCAUUGCCCACAACAGUGCUUCCCUGCCUCAGUUUCAUAGAAAUGAUCCCUUCGUAACUCAGCAGCUCAUAUACAGUGAUAAAGUAUCAAGUCCAUCGUUUUCCCAAAUCAAGAGCAAUGCAUCCCACACAAAUGGGCAAGAAUUGCAGCUGACAGAGGAAUCUCCCUAUCUUUGAACCUUCAGGAUUUUGCAGUGAUGUCAAGGUUUACACCCAUGUCCCCACUCCCAAAAUUUGGAUUUGAGCCUCAGAUCUGCUAUUUACUAACUCUGUGAUCUUUGACAAAUCACUCGAAUUCCUGAUGCCUUAAGAAUCCCUUUGUUCCUGAGCAGGGCGACACAGUCUCCUGCAGUUGAGGAUCAUUGAUCUAGAGCAUUGAUUACAACGGAAGGCAUCUAAAGGAUGAGGCAAAAGUGAAAGCCAGAUUAUGGUUGUAUGUUUUUCCUGUAAGCCACCACAAACCUUUUGUGCAAUGAGAUAGGUGAUGAAUAAAGCAUGGAUGAAUCCACGCAUUAGAUGAGUAUGUGAAGUGGAUAUGGAGAGCACACAAGAACCAAGAGCAGACAGAGCCCUAAGGAAAGACCUGGCUGACCUGCCGGAAGGAAAAUAGGUAUUAGGAAUCCUGAAAACCAUACUUCAGAGGAUUGUGUAUCAAGAAGGUUGGGGUCUAGGUGAGAGUCUUGUGAUUUGGUUGAAUUAAAAUGAAUGCAGCACUUCCAGCCCUGCAGUCAUUCAGGAGUCCCCAACUUACUACCACUGAGGGCCAGGUUGAGAACACACAGACCUCCCAGCCAGCUGUCUCUGUAUCUACAGAGUUGAACUGGACUUAGUUUUUAUAUGCUAUCUCUUGAAGGCACAAACUUGGAUAUUAUGGGGAAAAACCAUGUUUUGAUUUUAUAAAUGUUGAUAUUGAUAGGUGACAGGGAGGUAAUAACUGCUUAUUAGCAUUUAAUGUGUCUGAUCAUUCAAUUAAUCUUGUAGAAAUUACUCUUAGACUUUCAACAACAUGUAACUAUGAGCACAUAUCAUUUAUUUCAAUUUAAUACAGUGGCUGAAAAGGAUUUCUAAGAAUUGUUUGUACCUCUGGGCAUAUCUUAGUGAGAGACUUUUGAUAGCAUUUGUUUAAACCUUAUGAAAACUGUAUUUAGUCAUGGACUGAAGUGAAUUGUUCAUUGGAUUCAUUAGGGAUUAUAUCUAAGAAUAAGAUUUACUGCAUUUAUAAUAAAAUGUGUGAAUGAAGAAA
Molecule: long non-coding RNA, 1300 nt
Filed under: Pongo abelii (Sumatran orangutan)
Lineage: Eukaryota; Metazoa; Chordata; Mammalia; Primates; Hominidae
Description: lincRNA
Source: RNAcentral